Molecule: RNase P RNA, 325 nt
Filed under: Sulfurimonas aquatica
Lineage: Bacteria; Pseudomonadati; Campylobacterota; Epsilonproteobacteria; Campylobacterales; Sulfurimonadaceae
Description: Sulfurimonas sp. H1576 RNase P RNA component class A
Rfam family: Bacterial RNase P class A
About the family: Ribonuclease P (RNase P) is a ubiquitous endoribonuclease, found in archaea, bacteria and eukarya as well as chloroplasts and mitochondria. Its best characterised activity is the generation of mature 5'-ends of tRNAs by cleaving the 5'-leader elements of precursor-tRNAs.
Source: RNAcentral
AGGUACAAGAGAUAGUUACUUGACUAGCUCAAGAGGAAAGUCCGAGCUGCUGUAAGACAGUGUUCCAUUUAACGAAUGGCCGUAGUAAUGCGAGGGAAAGUGCAACAGAGAUUAGACUUCUGCGUUUAUUCGUAGUAAAGGUGAAAAGGUGCGUGUAAGAGACCACCAGUUUCUAUAGCAAUAUAGAGAGCUUGUAAACCCAACAUGGCAGCAAGAAACAGAUGGUUAGCGUCUUACAAUGCUUUUGUUUCGCUGGAUGCACUAUGUAAAUUGUGCAGUAGAUUAAUGCUAUAAAAACAAAACUCGGCUUAUCUUGUACCUUCUA